Molecule: transfer RNA, 87 nt
Filed under: Neocucurbitaria cava
Lineage: Eukaryota; Fungi; Ascomycota; Dothideomycetes; Pleosporales; Cucurbitariaceae
Description: Pyrenochaeta cava tRNA
Rfam family: tRNA
About the family: Transfer RNA (tRNA) molecules are approximately 80 nucleotides in length. Their secondary structure includes four short double-helical elements and three loops (D, anti-codon, and T loops).
Source: Rfam by way of RNAcentral
GGGCGUGUGGCUCAGUGGUAGAGCGUCCGCUUUGCAUCCUUGCGAUGAAGCUGCGGAAGGUCCGGGUUUCGAUCACCCGCCCGUCCA